Molecule: ribosomal RNA, 497 nt
Filed under: uncultured bacterium
Lineage: Bacteria
Description: partial 16S ribosomal RNA
Rfam family: Bacterial small subunit ribosomal RNA
Source: RNAcentral
GACGAACGCUGGCGGCGUGCCUAAUACAUGCAAGUUGAGCGCUGAAGGUUGGUACUUGUACCAACUGGAUGAGCAGCGAACGGGUGAGUAACGCGUGGGGAAUCUGCCUUUGAGCGGGGGACAACAUUUGGAAACGAAUGCUAAUACCGCAUAAAAACUUUAAACACAAGUUUUAAGUUUGAAAGAUGCAAUUGCAUCACUCAAAGAUGAUCCCGCGUUGUAUUAGCUAGUUGGUGAGGUAAAGGCUCACCAAGGCGAUGAUACAUAGCCGACCUGAGAGGGUGGUCGGCCACAUUGGGACGGAGACACGGCCCAAACGCCUACGGGAGGCAGCAGUAGGGAAUCUUCGGCAAUGGACGAAAGUCUGACCGAGCAACGCCGCGUGAGUGAAGAAGGUUUUCGGAUCGUAAAACUCUGUUGGUAGAGAAGAACGUUGGUGAGAGUGGAAAGCUCAUCAAGUGACGGUAACGACCCAGAAAGGGACGGCUAACUACGUG